This 115-nucleotide ribosomal RNA is filed under the name Vulpes vulpes (red fox). Lineage: Eukaryota; Metazoa; Chordata; Mammalia; Carnivora; Canidae. The record is from RNAcentral.
AUCUGCGGCCAUACCCCCCUGGACACUCCUGUAGUCAUCUGAUCUCAGACACUAAGCAGAAAAGGGCCUGGUUAGUGCUUGGGUGGAAGAGCAAGAGAAAGAGAGCUAGCACAUG